Molecule: small nuclear RNA, 18 nt
Filed under: Arabidopsis thaliana (thale cress)
Lineage: Eukaryota; Viridiplantae; Streptophyta; Magnoliopsida; Brassicales; Brassicaceae
Description: snRNA_12961
Source: RNAcentral
GGGUCUGGCCUCCGUAAC